AUGGAGGUUCUGGAUGCAAUAAAUAAUAAGAAGAUACCGACUGGAUGGAAUUCCACUAAUAUUGUUUUGAUACCCAAGGUUGAGUGUCCAGAGGUAAUAUCUCAGUACAGGCCUAUCAGCCUUUGUAACGUAGUUUAUAAGAUUAUCGCGAAGAUGAUUGCUAACAGGCUAAAGAGGAUCCUACCAGAGAUUAUUUCUCUUACACAGAGUGCAUUUGUUCCAGGUAGAUCGAUCACCAACAACGUACUUGUGGCCUAUGAGUGUUUCCACACAUUGAAGAAGAAGACACAUGGGGACCCCCUCUCCCCUUACCUGUUUUUGUUAUGCUCAGAAGGGCUCUCUAGUAUACUAGCUCAUAAGGAGGAGGUGGGACACCUGGAGGGAAUUAAAGUUGAAAGAAGUAUAGUUUUCACCCCCAAAUCCAUCUCAAUGUAUCCAUAA
Molecule: ribosomal RNA, 441 nt
Filed under: Triticum aestivum (bread wheat)
Lineage: Eukaryota; Viridiplantae; Streptophyta; Magnoliopsida; Poales; Poaceae
Description: partial small subunit ribosomal RNA
Source: RNAcentral